This 506-nucleotide ribosomal RNA is filed under the name uncultured bacterium. Its description in RNAcentral is "bacterial SSU rRNA". It matches the Rfam family "Bacterial small subunit ribosomal RNA", at positions 107 to 607 of the family's 1533-position model. The record is from RNAcentral.
UGAGUGAUGUCUGGGAAACUGCCCGAUGGAGGGGGAUAACUACUGGAAACGGUAGCUAAUACCGCAUAACGUCGCAAGACCAAAGUGGGGGACCUUCGGGCCUCAUGCCAUCAGAUGUGCCCAGAUGGGAUUAGCUAGUAGGUGAGGUAAUGGCUCACCUAGGCGACGAUCCCUAGCUGGUCUGAGAGGAUGACCAGCCACACUGGAACUGAGACACGGUCCAGACUCCUACGGGAGGCAGCAGUGGGGGAAUAUUGCACAAUGGGCGCAAGCCUGAUGCAGCCAUGCCGCGUGUAUGAAGAAGGCCUUCGGGUUGUAAAGUACUUUCAGCGAGGAGGAAGGCAUUAAGGUUAAUAACCUUAGUGAUUGACGUUACUCGCAGAAGAAGCACCGGCUAACUCCGUGCCAGCAGCCGCGGUAAUACGGAGGGUGCAAGCGUUAAUCGGGAUUACUGGGGCGUAAAGCGCACGCAGGCGGUCUGUCAAGUCGGAUGUGAAAUCCCCGGG